GGAAUCUUGCGCAAUGGGCGAAAGCCUGACGCAGCGACGCCGCGUGAGGGAUGAAGGCCUUCGGGUUGUAAACCUCUGUCAGGGGGGAAGAAUCCGGAGUCGGUGAAUAACCGACCCCACUGACGGUACCCCCAGAGGAAGCACCGGCUAACCCCGUGCCGGCAGCCGCGGUAAGACGGAGGGUGCAAACGUUGUUCGGAAUCACUGGGCGUAAAGGGCGCGUAGGCGGACUCGUAAGUCGGGAGUGAAAACUCGGGGCUCAACCCCGAGCCUGCUUCUGAAACUGCGAGUCUUGAGGACCGGAGAGGAAAGUGGAAUUCCUAGUGUAGCGGUGGAAUGCGUAGAUAUUAGGAAGAACACCAGUGGCGAAGGCGACUUUCUGGACGGUUCCUGACGCUGAGGCGCGAAAGCUAGGGGAGCAAACAGG
RNAcentral lists this ribosomal RNA (427 nucleotides) under uncultured bacterium. RNAcentral's name for it is "bacterial SSU rRNA". It matches the Rfam family "Bacterial small subunit ribosomal RNA", at positions 358 to 776 of the family's 1533-position model. The record is from RNAcentral.